RNAcentral lists this ribosomal RNA (452 nucleotides) under uncultured organism. Its description in RNAcentral is "partial 16S ribosomal RNA". It matches the Rfam family "Bacterial small subunit ribosomal RNA", at positions 333 to 801 of the family's 1533-position model. The record is from RNAcentral.
ACACUCCUGCGGGAGGCAGCAGUGGGGAAUAUUGGACAAUGGGCGCAAGCCUGAUCCAGCCAUGCCGCGUGAGUGAUGAAGGCCCUAGGGUUGUAAAACUCUUUCACCGGUGAAGAUAAUGACGGUAACCGGAGAAGAAGCCCCGGCUAACUUCGUGCCAGCAGCCGCGGUAAUACGAAGGGGGCUAGCGUUGUUCGGAUUUACUGGGCGUAAAGCGCACGUAGGCGGACUAUUAAGUCAGGGGUGAAAUCCCGGGGCUCAACCCCGGAACUGCCUUUGAUACUGGUAGUCUUGAGUUCGAGAGAGGUGAGUGGAAUUCCGAGUGUAGAGGUGAAAUUCGUAGAUAUUCGGAGGAACACCAGUGGCGAAGGCGGCUCACUGGCUCGAUACUGACGCUGAGGUGCGAAAGCGUGGGGAGCAAACAGGAUUAGAAACCCCUGUAGUCCCAUGAU